Molecule: long non-coding RNA, 2960 nt
Organism: Myotis lucifugus (little brown bat)
Lineage: Eukaryota; Metazoa; Chordata; Mammalia; Chiroptera; Vespertilionidae
Exons: 2
Source: RefSeq, a predicted model, not a curated record
AGAAAUUUCAAUCAUUGUACUGUUGAUAUUUGGCUCUGUUGACUAAUGAGUUUGCCGACCACUGGUCUAGAAGAUGAGAAGAGCAGAGUCAAGCAUAGGAUAUAGACUUGGGCCUCUCAAGUUAGGCCUGAGAGCCCAUGUAGAUAAAGCCGGAUCUCUCAAGAAGGUGUGAGGAGUCUGAGUUGGCUAUAGGUUGAGAUGCAGGCAGGUACGGGAAACUUGGUCCAUUAGCGGAGCUGUCUAACUCCUGCCUCUGGCGGGUGUAUGACCGUGCAGUAUGAGGUACUGGAAUAGGACACAGACAGAGCUAACCUCCCAGGGGAAGGAAGCCUUUGCAUCCAUGCCCAAUGCUGGCUUUGUCAGUGAGACCAUUGAUCCAGGGUCAUAUGGGCAGAGGUGUAGAAACAUGAUCUUAGGUGGGUUCGUGCCACCUGGAUUCAGGUACAGAUUGGCAUCCUUGGGCUUGUUAGGCAAAAUGAGUGGGCACGAUUUAGCCCAGAAAUGCAUAAUUGGUGUGGCUGGUGAGUCCUGAGAAGGAGGGUCAGACACAGGUGGGAACUUCCGUGGUAGGAUUGGACAAGGUCAGAUGGGCGGUGUGGGGCUCUCAUCCCGGGAAAGACAAAGUCAUUCUAUGAAUGUGUGCCUGGGUCUGCCUGGGAAGGUCUUGAGAGCCCUUAGGAUCGGGGAGGACAGAUAGAGUGCCCCAAGCUCGGUCAGCAUCCUGGUCAGGUGUGAUGAGCAGAGCUCAAGGUAUUCUAGAGGCCUGAGGAUCCAUUACUAGUCUGAGGUGUGGUCUGUAGUGUGGUUGGCAUAGGGCCUGACUUACCCAGGUGAGGAAAAAGAUAGAGUUAGGUCUUAUUAGAUAAAGUGAGGUCUGGGGCACAGGUCAGCACAGAUUGUUGAAUGGCUGAGGAGCUACAUCUAUAAGAUGUGGUCUAAGAGGCCCACUGCAGCUACAGGUGAGGUCUAGAGACCUGUGUUUGCAGGUUGAGGUUUUCGAGUCUCAAGUCAGACACUGGCAUUGCUGGGCUUUCCAAAAACGUGAGGUCUGUUGACCUAGCCUCAGCCAAGGUCAACAGCUUGGAAUCUGUCAGUCUGAGGGCUUGCUGGUUCUCAGUCCGGUUUCUAGAAUUGAGUCUGUUUGUUGAGAUCUGAGAGCCUAUGUCAGGCAUGGUGUGGCCAGUGAAACUGUGUCUGUCAGGUAAGGUUCCCCCAAACCUGGACCCUUUCCAGGUGAGGGCCCCCACCAUUCCUUUACCCAGGCCAGAGAACUCUGGGUCACACUUGGUUCUCUCAUUCUCCCAAUUCAUCCUGUUUGAUUGAACCUCCUGAAUCUGCACCCCCAGGGUAGUAUUCUCUGGAUGACCACUGGGGGUCCUAAGUGGUUUCCUGUUUCCAUUUCACCCCUCCCAGACUUCUCCCUUCUCCAGCCUUGCCUCUCAGCUUCUACCCUCCAGCCCCCACUCCUUUCUUCAUCUUCUAGAUUGUGCUGUGUUUCCUCCUGGCCAGCCUAUUUCAAUGGGGUUCCAGUAGAGAAUCAAGGGGUACUAGGCUCAAGUACCCCUCAGAUUUCUUUUGUUUUAUUGAUCUUUGAGAAAGGAAGGGAAGGAGGGAGAGAGAGAAGAGAGAUACAUCGAUUAGCUAGCUGCCUUCCGUACAUUACCCAACUGGGGAUUGAACCUGCAACCCAGGUAUGUGCCCUGACCAGGAAUCAAAACAGCAACCUUUUGGUGCACAGGGCAGUGCUCAGCCAGCUGAAACACUGCAGCCAGGCGAGUUCUGAGGAUUCUGAUGACACAAAGUAGAAUCUGUAAUAUGGCAUGAAAAGGCACAGUGUGAAUGAAUAGUAGGCCUGGUGUGUCUUGAGGCUGAGGCUGAGGUGAUCAGUAUGAGCACCUGGGCCUGUGGGUGUGUCAAGAGGCAGCUGGGCACAGGUAUGAGGCACUGAACUUGUUAGUCUGAGGAUACAGACAUGGCACAGGUACAAGGCACUGGGUCUGUCAGUGUUCAAGGAGGUAAACUAAGCACAAGUUUGAGGCACUGGCACUGUGGGUGUCUGAGGAACCUGACCAGGCACAGGUGUGAGGCGCUGGAUCUGUGGGUGUCUGAGGAGCCUGACCAGGCACAGGUAUGAGGUUCUGGAUCUGUGGGUGUCUGAGGAGCCUGACCAGGCACAGGUAUGAGGCCUGGAUCUGUGGGUGUCUGAGGAGCCUGACCAGGCACAGGUGUGAGGUUCUGGAUCUGUGGGUGUCUGAGGAGCCUGACCAGGCACAGGUAUGAGGCACUGGCACUAUGGGUGUCUGAGGAGCCUGACCAGGCACAGGUGUGAGGUUCUGGAUCUGUGGGUGUCUGAGGAGCCUGACCAGGCACAGGUGUGAGGUUCUGGAUCUGUGGGUGUCUGUGAGGCCUGACCAGGCACAGGUAUGAGGCGCUGGAUGGAUCUGUGGGUGUCUGAGGAGCCUGACCAGGCACAGGUAUGAGGCACUGGAUCUGUGGGUGUCUGAGGAGCCUGACCAGGCACAGGUAUGAGGCCUGGAUCUGUGGGUGUUUGAGGAGCCUGACCAGGCACAGGUAUGAGGUUCUGGAUCUGUGGGUGCCUGAGGAGCCUGACCAGGCACAGGUGUGAGGUUCUGGAUCUGUGGGUGUCUGUGAGGCCUGACCAGGCACAGGUAUGAGGUUCUGGAUCUGUGGGUGUCUGAGGAGCCUGACCAGGCACAGGUAUGAGGCGCUGGAUCUGUGGGUGUCUGAGAGGCCUGACCAGGCACAGGUAUGAGGUUCUGGAUCUGUGGGUGUCUGAGGAGCCUGACCAGGCACAGGUAUGAGGCGCUGGAUCUGUGGGUGUCUGAGGAGCCUGACCAGGCACAGGUAUGAGGUUCUGGAUCUGUGGGUGUCUGAGGAGCCUGACCAGGCACAGGUAUGAGGCGCUGGAUCUGUGGGUGUCUGAGGAGCCUGACCAGGCA